This 486-nucleotide ribosomal RNA is filed under the name uncultured bacterium. Its description in RNAcentral is "partial 16S ribosomal RNA". It matches the Rfam family "Bacterial small subunit ribosomal RNA", at positions 30 to 507 of the family's 1533-position model. The record is from RNAcentral.
AUUGAACGCUGGCGGCAUGCCUUACACAUGCAAGUCGAACGGCAGCACGGGUGCUUGCACCUGGUGGCGAGUGGCGAACGGGUGAGUAAUACAUCGGAACAUGUCCUGUAGUGGGGGAUAGCCCGGCGAAAGCCGGAUUAAUACCGCAUACGAUCCACGGAUGAAAGCGGGGGACCUUCGGGCCUCGCGCUAUAGGGUUGGCCGAUGGCUGAUUAGCUAGUUGGUGGGGUAAAGGCUUACCAAGGCGACGAUCAGUAGCUGGUCUGAGAGGACGACCAGCCACACUGGGACUGAGACACGGCCCAGACUCCUACGGGAGGCAGCAGUGGGGAAUUUUGGACAAUGGGCGAAAGCCUGAUCCAGCAAUGCCGCGUGUGUGAAGAAGGCCUUCGGGUUGCAAAGCACUUUUGUCCGGAAAGAAAUCCUUGACUCUAAUACAGUCGGGGGAUGACGGUACCGGAAGAAUAAGCACCGGCUAACUACGUG